AUUCUUGCAGGCGUGUAAACUAAUAAAGACGGGGACAAAUCACGUAUGAAAUGUGAGCAUUAAAUGCCACCUUUGAUGAAACAGCGGGUGGCAAACGGCUCCAUUGUGCCGGCAGAAUUUCCUCUUGAGUUGGAGCAUGCCGGGGAGUCGUUUCUUUGUGUGAGUACAGAAAAAGAGCAGUGCUCGGCAGAGAUUGCUGAUAUGUGCUCUUUUUUUUCUUCCUCCCUUCCUCACUGGAGCACUGCAACGCAAUGCGGAUACUGGGUGUCUGAGCCACUAGCCAGACACACUGGGGGGACGGUGGGGGAGGUGGGGGAGAGACAGGAGGAGGAGGAGGAUGGGGAAGGAGGCGGCGAAGCAAGUUCACAUCCAGCCUCGUGCUUCAGGACAACCGACGUCUGGGCGCGCUGGCAUUAUCCGAGCGAGCAGGUUCGCACAUUUUGGAGAAUUUUACGUCGACUGGAUAAGCGCACACUAAUUCCAGGCGCAGAUGUCUGUCUGUUGUUUAAAACCGAACCGAAAACACAUCGGUUUUGCCCUAAAAUAAAUCACAAUUCUGUAUUAUUCAACCAGUCCGCUUGGAGCGAAAUCCAAGCUUGAAAUUUUAUAUUCUCAAACUGUUACAACUGUUUUUUACUGCUCACUACACAAUAAAAUGAUUUAAAACGCUCCGAACUCGUCGUCUGAAGAGAUACUCUGUUGUUCCAUGCAUGCAAAGGGAAGCAGAGAAAACAAACCGCUAUUGAUAGCUGGCUCCGUACCCCGUUGGACUGCACCAAAUAACAAAUCAAAGAGCACUGCAGAGCAAGUCUUCAUACUCACCACAUGAGGAGACGGAUGGCGUCCAUACGAAGAGUGUGUGACUCCGCAGGGAAAGCUAGAAGGUUGUACAGUUAUCUCCAGGCUGUUUAUUAUGCGAAACCAUACAACCAACUACCUCACGCUGCAGAGCACCGGAACAGGAAGCGAUGGUGAGAUUGUCUGAUGAACGUUAACAGAUAUGACCUCUUGACCUGAUCAAAGGAACGACGUGUCUUCUGCUGACUUUGGCCAACUAAAGAUGUGACUUUUUUGUCAAUAAUAUAACUAAAAAAAGGUUGCACCUGAAGUAUUUUUUGAACGUUAUUCCUGUAAAAUGUUCGACAAUAGAGGAAAAUACGAAUUCUAGAUGCUGUAUACUGUCAUAUUAAAGAUUCACAUAAAAAAAAAACAGUAAUUUUGGGCUGUCAAAAUGCUGAUUAGUGUUCUAUUUAUGGACGUAUAAUCAUUUUGAAUGUUGCCCAUCCAUUUUGAUGGUACUAAAGCAUCUGAUGAAAACCCUCUCCAUCAUGUUAGAUCUGAAUUAUUUAAAUUCCAACUAAAAUAUUCUUUUGUUUGCUGUUAGUGGAUCUCUCCUCCGCAGUCCUGAUGUUAGUUAUUUAGUGUGCUGCACAUAUCUGUAACAAAAACCUUAAAAACUCGUAUGGGAUCAUUUUGCUUUGUGUAAUUACAUUUUGUAAUAUUGCCUCACUGCAUUGGAAUUUUUAUUGUCAGAAUUUAGCGUUAAAUUCAUUUUUAGUUUACUUUUUCACCUUCUAACUACGCCACAGUAGAUAUUUCUGUUUAGACAGUGUGUCCUUCUACUUAGCCUUGUUUAUUUUUGCCAAUAUUUUGUGUUCUUCUUACACGAAUUCCGUAUAGUUGUUGAAAUGUGCUAUAAGAAUACACUUUCCCUGCCUAUUCUUUAAAUUAAUUGCUUGUUGGAUUGUCUGAAACACCUUUCUGGUGCGCAACGCUGCCAGAGAGGUGCGGCUAAAAGCUGCUUGUAAUUUUCUGAGACAGACUUUGUGACCUUGUGGCCAGGCACGCCGAGUUGUCGUAGCAGGCAGCGUUUUUUCUUCUAGUGUGUACAACUGAGCACAACACACAAAUUCAAGGAGAGACCGACUGAAAGUGUGCUUCAUUAUCCACAUACGCGUUAACAGAAUUACUGAAUCUCCUUCCUCUCUCACACAGGUAUUCACACUCACGUUCACCAAAUUUACCACAUUCACACUCAUGCCGUGUUGCAUUUAUCUGUAAAUUGGGAACUGUGAUCAUUUGUGAAAUUUUGCCCUCCAUUAAAAGCAUUCUGAGGCUUCUACCUUGAA
Acanthochromis polyacanthus (spiny chromis) is the source of this 2129-nucleotide long non-coding RNA. RefSeq lists it as uncharacterized. The record is from RefSeq and is a predicted model, not a curated record. NCBI's taxonomy places the organism in Eukaryota, Metazoa, Chordata, Actinopteri, Pomacentridae. The transcript has 3 exons.